This 377-nucleotide ribosomal RNA is filed under the name uncultured bacterium. Its description in RNAcentral is "bacterial SSU rRNA". It matches the Rfam family "Bacterial small subunit ribosomal RNA", at positions 523 to 898 of the family's 1533-position model. The record is from RNAcentral.
AUACGUAGGUGGCAAGCGUUGUCCGGAUUUACUGGGCGUAAAGGAUGCGUAGGCGGAUUUUUAAGUGGGAUGUGAAAUACCCGAGCUCAACUUGGGUGCUGCAUUCCAAACUGGAAGUCUAGAGUGCGGGAGAGGAGAGUGGAAUUCCUAGUGUAGCGGUGAAAUGCGUAGAGAUUAGGAAGAACACCAGUGGCGAAGGCGACUCUCUGGACCGUAACUGACGCUGAGGCAUGAAAGCGUGGGGAGCAAACAGGAUUAGAUACCCUGGUAGUCCACGCCGUAAACGAUGGGUACUAGGUGUGGGAGGUAUCGACCCCUUCCGUGCCGCCGUUAACACAAUAAGUACCCCGCCUGGGGAGUACGGUCGCAAGAUUAAA